ACAGUUGGGCAGAAAGCCCGCCAGGCUGAUCACCUCGCCUGGUCGGACUUUCUGCCCCCUAAAACUGU
This 68-nucleotide microRNA precursor is filed under the name Spodoptera frugiperda (fall armyworm). Its description in RNAcentral is "microRNA sfr-mir-10502 precursor". Lineage: Eukaryota; Metazoa; Arthropoda; Insecta; Lepidoptera; Noctuidae. The record is from miRBase by way of RNAcentral.